This is a non-coding RNA of Heterocephalus glaber (naked mole-rat), 6731 nucleotides long. Lineage: Eukaryota; Metazoa; Chordata; Mammalia; Rodentia; Bathyergidae. The record is from RefSeq and is a predicted model, not a curated record.
UGCACAUCUGGAGCUGGGGCUCAUCAGCCUGAGGCCUUAGGCUCAGGAGCACAGAGCCCCGACACCCCCAGCCCUGCCCCGAGCUGGCCAAGCAGAGAGGAUCCUGACAGCGCCCCAAGGGCAGCACGGCCAGCAGGCUUCACCCGGGCUCCUCCAGGCCUCACAGUGACAUUAGUUCCAGGACAGCUGAGACUGCCUAACUCAGCCUUGUCGCUCUUGGAAGGCAGAGGACGCAGCACACGCGUGCCCCAGGAGACGGGACGUGAGCUAGUGAAUAGCAGGAAGCAGGAAGGCCGAGUUUAAAGAGUAGGAGCAGAGGAGGUGGAGCUUGGGCGGCACCAGCCCGUUGCGGGCCUUUCGGCUUAGGCAGGGAUGUGGCCCUAAGGGAGCAGGCCAGGGACGCUUUUCCACAACCGUGAGCAAUGGCCUCUCCCACAGACAGGAACACAGCAGCCAUCGCUGCAACCAGCACCAUGGCUCCCUGUCAAGGGAACGCUCUCAACAACCCAAGCAGCGACAGUCGCUCAUUUACUGUUUGUUCGGGAAACCAAAAGAAACUACGCUGUGAGAAGAGUCUCUGAGGCUGUGAGUGCUGUGCUGGGCUCUGGCUUUCCCUGCACUUCUACCCCAGUCUGUCCCGCGUCUGCCUGGGGACCCUGCCUGGCGCUGCUCUUGCCCGACUGACUGGGGGGCCAGGACUCUGGGGCUGCACCGAGUCCAGCCCACCGCUGCAGAUCAUCUGUAGAUGAUGGUUCCCCGAAGGCAGCACGGCGGUCAAUAGUUCUGUCCAGGCCACUUUCACACCGCGUAGUGGUCGCUGCAAGGGCCAGCUGCUCCGUGACCUGAAGUGUUUGUCACCCGCCCCAUUGCAGGAAAAGGUGCAGCCUCUCCCUACACGCCUAGGGUGGUCCCCGCCAGUGACCCCGCAGCGCGAGUGUCUGAGACACCCUAAGACAUUUCUCAGCUCUGCUGACCUGGCCCCUGGCCACCUGGGCCUGCCCUCCACACUUCAGAACCAGAAGGGGUGGAGCUGGCUUCACAGACCCUGCACUGCGUGACUCAGCUCGAGGGCCGGCUUGAUUCUCUGCCCUGGGCCCCUCUCCUGCAACACCCUGGUCCCAGCCCUUCGUGCCCGGUGCGAGUGGGGGUGAGGUGCUUACAGCAGGCAUUUUGUCACGUGGUGGGAAGCUGGCUGACUCAGGUCCUCUUCCCAUUGGAAGCCCUGGAGUCUGCCUGGGUUCGCCAGCCCCCAGCCUGAGGAGAGUGGAGCCUGGCUGUGAUGAAUCUAGCACAGACCCCCGGGCGGAGGCCAGCAUGCAGCAAGGUCGGGUCAGCACACGGAGUGCAGGAGCAGGUGGAGUCCUGGCCGUGCCUUGCAGAGCCUGGAGAGCCAAGAGUCAGCGCUGAAAUGCAGCCUGCAAGUGCCAGGAUCCCUGCCCUGGGGGAGGGAGGCAGUGGGCAGGAAAGGACUCUGGGCCCCACGACGGCGUGGACACAGCAGACACUGGCCACACUGACAGUAACUGCUUGAGGCUGCCCGGGCAGAGCUAGCAGGGCAGGCAGGCCAUGCACAGUAGCUGAGUGACAGCGGAGUGACACAAUGUAUCCUACCGGAGGGGACAAGUCACCACCUUAGGCACCAACUGGCAGCCGCCACCAUCCUACUUCCUAUCCCACGAGUCCGACCUCGGAGGCAGAGCCCAGCAGACCAUCCUUCUGGCCUGGCUUGUUCUUCUAGAGCAGCACCCUGAGCCAGGACACCUGCUGCAGGGUGCAUCUGUGAGGGCCGAGUCGGGAGAGGGUGUCUAUGCGCAGCCCCCACAAGAGGGGGCUCCAACCCCAGACGCUUCUCUGACAGUGCCAAGUGGGUUUGAGGCCACAGCCGACAGGCCUCCUGUCCUCCUGCCCCAGAGACCAGAUCCUCCAUCCGACCAGGCUCCGAGUUCCAGGCUGAGGACACCUGCCGCUCAGGCUUCCAGCUUCCCGGUGCAUGCUCAGCUGCUGCUUCUUCCCCACAAGACGACAAGCUAAAGUCAUGCCGUGGUAAUGCUGGGUUAAUACUCUGCCAGUAUCGUAAUACUCUGGUAAUGCUGUAGUACUGCUUUGUUAAUGCUUUGGUGAUACUCACUAAUACUGUAGUGAUGCUUUGUUAAUGCUUUUUGCUAAUGCUGUAGUAAUAAAUACAGAGUUUCCGCUGGAGAAAGUGGGAAGGUUCUGGAGAUGGAUGGUGACAGUGGCCACAGGACAGCAUGGAUGUGCUUAAUGCCAAGGGACAGCGCCCUGAGACAGGCAACUGUGCCUCUCUUGCAUUUUAGUGUGAGGAACAGGCUCGGGAUGCACCGUCACCACUGUGACGGCUCUGGCUCUUUCUGUGCCCCUCGUAGUGGCAGCUCUGAGCGCACCUGAGGGUUGGACUCCAUGACCUCGGUCCCCCAAAGACCCCUAGUAACCAUCCCCGUGGGGUGAGAAUUUCAUUACGAGGAGUGGGGAACAAACAGACCACAGAUGUGUGCUUUCAUCAUGAAAAGUGUGCUUCUAAAUUCUGAACUCAGACUGACAGCACCCUGGUGCAUUCCUGUAUUCCCAGUGCUCUGGGAGGCUGAACUCAGGGGGAUUGUGAGUUCUAGGGGAUUGUGGGUAACUUAGCAAGAUCUUAUCUUGUAAAUAACUUUUUAGACUCUGAGUUGGGGGGAUACUGGGCUCACCCCCAGCUCCUGAGCUGAGAGAUGGUAACCCACUGCCACUCCAGCCUCUGGGGAAUGCGUUGCCUUUAACUAAGAUGAACCGCUGCCCUGCACCAGUCCCUACUGCUGUCCCAGAACCAGCCUCUGAGGACUGACCUGCCGCAGGGUGGUCUGGGUGGUGCCUUCGUCCCCAGACCUCGGUGGGCCCGGUGGGACCCUACCUUCCCCUGCCGCUGGGCUGCCCUGGUCCCAAGAGUGCCCAUGAGUGGUGUUGCAGCCACACGGCUGCAUGGGAGCCCCAAGAUAAGGAGCCCCAACACAAGGGGCUGCAAGCCGAGCUGGGUUUGGCACAGUGGCGGCCGGGUACAGGUGCAGCUUCAGAUACGCACCACCUGGGCAGGGUGGGGCCCCGGCUUGUGUGCUGCUGGUGUCUUGCCUGCCCCUUCCUGCCCAAGCCCAGCCCUGGAGAGCUGGGCUCAGGAGACCAUCACACCCCAGCCAGGGCCGUCCACACCCUCACCGCCUCUGCUGCACGGCCCAGGGCUCGGGCUGAGGACGCGGCUGUUCCCAGCCUUGGGACUCCUCUUUCCAGGCAGACACCCUGGCACGGCAGAGGAGUUGAGCAGAGGGGUCUGCAGGAGCUGGGACUCUGUGGAGAGUGAAGAUGCCUGCGUGGGUGAAGGGGCCCUGUCCAGAGCGACCGGUCCCCCCCACACCGCCAGCCCUGGCUGACCCAGCCUGUGCCGAGCGGCCUGUCAGCUUUCGCUCUGAGCUUAACAAGCACUUUUAAUUCAUCAUUUUAAACGAGUGUCAGACCCACGGAAAGAGUUGAAAGUUCCAGUUGCAAGAAGGCCUGAAUGACUGCAGAAAUGAAAGGGUGAGCUUUAAAAAUAGAAGCUGGUGAGAAAGUGACAGCGCCGUGCGUUUGAUGGAGUGACUCGUGGGACGGCAGUUCAGCCCCAGGACGAGCGUGAGUCACUAGUGCCAGGGCUGCCUGCGCCUGUGCCCGCCCAGAGGCCCAGAGCGGCUGGACAUGGGUGGCUGAGAUGUGGGCCGGCGCCGGGGCCACUGGGCUUCCGUCGGGGCCCAGAGGUCAGUGGGUUCACCGUGUGCCCCAGAAGUGAGCCCCACGGGAGCAGGGGAUGGGGCAUCCGCAGAGCUUUCCCUGCUGCUGGCUCGAAAAAUAAUAACAAUGCUGUCUGAGACCUCAGGCACGGCAGCCACCGAGCAGGAAGAAUGAAUCAGAGCAAGACGGAUGGCGUCUUAGGGCAGCAGCAGCAGCUCUGGGGAGGAAGGCGGGCCGUUCCCAGGUUGAAGAACUGGGGAAAGGAACGGAUGGGAAGAUGCAGGAGCUGAGCGGGAGGCCGGCAGAGUCUCAGGUGCAGUCUGACACAGAGGAGGCCACCGAGGGGCCGUGAGCCCCAACGCUGGCCCAGAAGGUGCAGUGGUCACAGGUCAGAAAACAGGAAGGGGCCCGAGCCUCUCCCAGCACCGGGCAAGAGUCCCCCUCCGGGAGACCCCAAGGCCCUGGUCCUAGGAAAAGACCUGGAAGCAAGUGCCCUGUCCCCAAGCCUGGCAGAGAGGUGGCCAGGGAACAGGAGCCCUCGCGAAGGAGAGAGUGGCAGUCACCGUGAGAAAGGGAGUGGGAGACACACGCUGCAGCCCGGCCUCCGGCCUCCAUGGCGCCAGCAGAGUGGAUUCUCCCCCCAGGGCUCCAGGCAGAUGGCCCUGACCACUUCGUCCUCUUCCUGGCUCCCAUGCCCCUCGAGUGGUCCCAGAGGGAAGGCCUCAGGGAGGAGCUCCCAGAACCCAGGGGUGUUUAGAGUAAAUAAAAUGUGACUGGCGAGGUGCUGGGCUUCCUGAGGGGCUCAGCGGAGCGGGGGAGGGGGGGUCCCGGUUACCCCGGCCUGGGGGUGACUGAGGCUUUGCUUAAAGCCAGUCAGGGACAGUAAACAAAAGAGGCUCGGGGCACAGGGGUGAGCCUCACAGGCCCUGCUGCGGGCCCCAGAGCACAAAGCCUGCAGAAGAAAAGGAGUCCUGCAGCGGGCCUGCCACACCCACCCCGGCCUGAGUCGCUCCCAACACUGUGCUGCCCUACCGUCUCAGAAUUUGGGGUACUUGGGAUUGAACCCAGGACCUUUGCACUGAGCUACAUCCCACCCCUGUUUAUUAUUUUAUUUUGUUAGUUAGCUAGUUAAUUAUUGCAGUUCUAGGGACUGAACCCAAGGGCUUCACACUGAGCUUCAUGCCCAGGCCAUCUGGGAGGGGAGGAGACAGAGCUUUGCUAAAUCGCCCUGGUGAGACCCAAAUGUGCAGUCCUCCUGCAGGAGCCUCCAGAGUGCUGGGAUUUCAACCAUGUACCACCACGUCCACUCUUUUUAUUUCUUUAAUUUUUUAUUGAUUUUAUUGUAAGUUUUAUAAUACUGAAGAUGGAGCCAGGGUCUUGCACAAGCUAGGAAAGCACCUUACCGCGGACUAAAUCCUGAGUCCUGUUUAUCUAGAGACAGGAUCUCCCCAAAUUGCCCAGGCGAGCCUUGAAUGCCAAGUCCCUGCCUCAGCCCUCAGGCUUCCCCAGCCUUUUUAAAAACUGUUUUUAGUUGGAGACAGGAUCUUGCUAAAUCACUAACUUGCCCAGGCUGUCCUCCUGGAGGACUGACCUCAAGUCCUUGAACUUGAGAUCCUCCUGCCUCAGCCUCCCAGUGUGCUGGGAUUCCAGGUGUGCACCAUGACUUCCGACUUGUCUCAGACUUCUCCAGCCCAAUAACGAUAUGACCCGAUUCCUUGAAGUGACUCUCUUAAUGUGCACACAUGGGCCCCUGUCACUCUUGUAUAGGUAGCAUAAACAUCACACACACGCAUACAUCUGGUUGUGCUCCGUUAACAACUCUGACAGAUUCAUCUGCAUAGAAAAUACGGGAGCAAGGAGAGGACAGCGCAGGGACAGGAGAGCCUUGCAGGGGAGGAGCUGGCAGCUCGGGGUCAGGGCUGAGCCCGGGCCAGGCACUCUGCGCUAACCUCUUCCUCUGCACUACAUUGGAGUCUGGUGAGUGCAGUCAACACCUCACGCAUUCCACAGAGGGAGAAACAGGCACAGAGAAGCUAAUUAACUUGUCUCUGGCCACACAGCUGCCCUCCUCAGGUGCAGAAUCGGACCCAGGGCUGCAGAGCCCUGGCCCUGACGUGACCCAGGGGGUGAUGUGCAGUCUCAAAGCGAGGAGGGAAGGCGCUGGAGAGAGCUAAGGCCGUGCCCACCCUGCCAGGCGUUGAGGGUGCUGUCUGAAUCUCACCAUGAGAGCUCGAAAGCUCGAGGGCCAAUCAGACACCCAGGGACGCGCAGGGAAACAGAGAGGCUGGGAGCCGCUGUUGGGCAACUCAGCCAGCUGCCAGUCCGAUGGGACAAGGGUGGAGGUGCUGGGGACGCAGCGAGGCUGGCUCUGCGGGGACCUCGCCCCUCCAGGGCUGUGGCUGCAGUCGGCCCCAGGUCCCCUGACUUGGGGGCCGGGCUUGGGAAGCCUCAGAGUGCAGUGGAGUCCCCAGGGCCACCCCUUCCCGGCCCUGGGCUGCCCUCGAUCCCCUGGCAGCUUCAAGACUCACUCCAAACUGGUGUGGUGGCGAAUCAGUCACCCCAGCUCCUCGGGAGGCUGAGACAAGAGGAGCCCCCAUUCCAGGCCAGCCUGGGAAACUUCCUGAGAUCCCGGCUCUAGGCAGAUGCUUUUAAAUUUGUCUCAUCGUGAGCAGAUAAAAUGCCAUCGAAAUGACUGACAGAAUUAUCGUAUGCAGCGCUGUGCUUUGAUCUUGGGGAGAUAGUUCUCGUUCUCCUACAGAGCUAAGUUUUGCAUGCACAGGGUGAACACACGGGGCAGCUCCUCUGCUCUUCUCAGCUGUACUGACGCUGGCUGUGGUGACCAGACCAGCACAGUUAUUCACAAGUUGUCUACUUUUUCCAUUUAUUAAUUCUGCUGAGCUGUUGUUGAAUAUGUUCUUUUCUCUGAUUCUUUGCAUUGAUUUGAUGUUUAAAGCAUUUUGCAUACUGUUUAUCAUGACAAG